AAACCCCUACUCUAGCAGGACAUUGUUAAAGUGAGUUUCUAUCUUUUGACCCCAUCACAUGACUACAUGGCCAUGCCCACCCAGUCAAAUGACCUACCACCACCACCACGCCAGGCCCACAGAACUGGUAGGGAAAAAAAUAGAUUUCACCACUGGGAGGAGGCAAUAUGCAUGGGAGGGAGGUGGGAUCUAUUAUUAGUUCUUCAACCACCUCCAGCAUGAUACUCCCCCUUGGAACCCCAAGCCAUCUAGCAGACCCAGGUCUUCACACCCUUGUUGAUAGUCCAGAGGGUGGGAGCCAAUCUCAUCUCAGUGGGGUAAAAUGUUCCAAAGAGCGGGGGCCACAACAGAGAAGGCUCUUCCCCUGGACCCCCACCAGCUAGAAUUUCUUGACUGAUGGGAUCUGCAACAUUUGUCUCCUUUGCAGGCACAGGUGGUAUGAGCCUAUCCCAUUGGAGUGAGAUGAUUCCUCGUGUAACCUGGACCAUGCCUUGAGGUCUUUAUAGGUUUGUGCUGCAUUGAUAUCCACAAUGAACAACAUUUCAAGGACUGUGAUUGAUAGAUUUGUCACUAGAAAUUCUAGCCCUGCCCAGUGUCAUCUACCACAGCGAAGGCCUCUCCAAUUGGUGAGGUGGGUAAGAGAGAGGGGCAAAGUCUGAGCCAAAGUCACCCAGGCAGUUUUCAUGCCUAAAGCGGGACUAGAACUCACUGCCUCCUAGGGCAGCACCUUAAUCACAGCACCAAUCUGGCUCUCGGUUUCUUAAUCAGGUUUCUGAUUCCUGCUGUUUCCUGAAUGAAAAUCAGUCAAGGGAAGAUCAUCUCAUAGACAGAACCCACAGAACCAAGGAAGAAAUAUCACAUUGUUUUCUAUCUUUGUAGAUGCUUUAUUCAUUUUGCCAAAUGACAAAACAAUGGAACAAAGUUGGGACAGAGCAGACCGGAAGAAUUAAGUAUCACAGGGUUUGUAUUUAUGCUUUGGAGUGCAAAUAAAAAGACUGACUCUUUCUUUCUCUCUCUCCCUCACUAUUUUAGUGCUUUGUUUUCUUCAAACUCCAAUAUGGAUCAAUACCACAGCAAAGAUGCAUUAGAUUGUGGUUGUCCUUACGGCAAAGUUGAGAAAUGUCUGCAUGUUCAGCUCCUUAAUAUAGACAUGCAAGUGAACAGAUUAAUGAC
This is a long non-coding RNA of Thamnophis elegans (Western terrestrial garter snake), 1173 nucleotides long. RefSeq lists it as uncharacterized. Lineage: Eukaryota; Metazoa; Chordata; Lepidosauria; Squamata; Natricidae. The transcript has 3 exons. The record is from RefSeq and is a predicted model, not a curated record.